CCCUGCGGGGGAAGGGGGGGGAUCGCAAGACCUCUCACUAUUGGAGCGGCCGAUAUCGGAUUAGCUAGUUGGUGGGGUAAAGGCUCACCAAGGCAACGAUCCGUAGCUGGUUUGAGAGGACGACCAGCCACACUGGGACUGAGACACGGCCCACACUCCUACGGGAGGCAGCAGUGGGGAAUUUUGGACAAUGGGGGAAACCCUGAUCCAGCCAUCCCGCGUGUAUGAUGAAGGCCUUCGGGUUGUAAAGUACUUUUGGCAGAGAAGAAAAGGUAUCCCCUAAUACGGGAUACUGCUGACGGUAUCUGCAGAAUAAUCACCGGCUAACUACGUGCCAGCAGCCGCGGUAAUACGUAGGGUGCAAGCGUUAAUCGGAAUUACUGGGCGUAAAGCGUGUGUAGGCGGUUCGGAAAGAAAGAUGUGAAAUCCCAGGGCUCAACCUUGGAACUGCAUUUUUAACUGCCGAGCUAGAGUAUGUCAGAGGGGGGUAGAAUUCCACGUGUAUCAGGGAAAUGCGUAGAUAUGUGGAGGAAUACCGAUGGCGAAGGCAGCCCCCUGGGAUAAUACUGACGCUCAGACACGAAGAGCGUGCGGAGCAGACAGGAUUAGAUACCCUGGUAGUCCACGCCCUACACGAUGUCAACUAACUGUUGGUGCCGUUAGGCCUUAUUAGCGCAUCUAACGCGUGAAGUUGACCGCCUGGGGAGUACGGUCGCAAGAUUAACACUCAGAGGAAUUUGACGGGGGACCCGCACAAGCGCUGGAUGAAUGUGGAAUUAAUUUCGAUGCAACGCGAAAAAACCUUACCUACCCCUUGACAUGUCUGGAAAGCCCAAAAAAAUUUGGCCCGUGCUCGCAAGAGAACCCGGAAACACAGGUGCUGGCAUGGGCUGUCCAUCAGCUCCUGUCCCUGAAAAUGUUUGGGGUUAAGUUUCCCCGCCAC
RNAcentral lists this ribosomal RNA (943 nucleotides) under Alcaligenes sp. RNAcentral's name for it is "bacterial SSU rRNA". It matches the Rfam family "Bacterial small subunit ribosomal RNA", at positions 192 to 1093 of the family's 1533-position model. Lineage: Bacteria; Pseudomonadati; Pseudomonadota; Betaproteobacteria; Burkholderiales; Alcaligenaceae. The record is from RNAcentral.